GGGCCCGGUGUAGCUUUUACUGACAUGUGAUUGGCCCGUUUGGUCAAGAAGUCAAACAUCUCGGGACCGAUCACAACCGUCCGAUUCACCCUUAAUAAGAUUUAAAGGAGUUCUCUUUUCAACCGUUAGAAUUCUUGCCUAAGAGGUUUGAUUGCAUUUAAGAGGUGAAAUUUUCAAGGCUUAAAAGAGUAAAUUUAUAAAAUCAUUAAAAUAUAAUAUUAAAUUAAAUAAAUUUAAAAGGAAAUAACCAAUGAUUAAAAAAAUUAAUUACAAUUUAAUUUAUUGGAACGAUUCUAAAUCACUCACACGGUCAUACACAAGCUUCAUAGGCUGACUAUUUCAAAAGUCCAACCAAUACUAAAACGCCAUUGGUCUAGAAUUAACAAAGUCAAAACUAUAGACAAAUCAUGUCCGAUCAAAAGAAUCCUUCACCGUUGAUAUAGUGGACCAAAAUAACUAUUUUGCAUAUGGGUUGAGAUUUUUGUGGGAUUCAGUGGAAUCCUAAUCCUUAAGCAACAAAUUAUUAAGGAUGAAACCAGACAAAUAAAUAAAAAUAUAAAAAGAGGUGGGACCCCAAAUCCACCAACUUGCUGAUAAAGCAAGGGCUUUGAUUACAUCAUGUGGGCACAUGCCACAUGGGUGGGCAUCAAGUCUAGUCUUCCUUCCAUCUAUUAUGAAAUCUAGGCAUAAGUGAAGAUCUUAUGCUUAUCAUUAUUCCAACAACAAGAUAAUAUAUAAUAAUAAAUAUAUUAAUGGAAAGAUAAAUAAAAAUAUUAUAAAAAAUUAGAACCUUUAAAAUAGUAUUUGGAGGUAAAAGUUCUUUGGAUAUCCUCUAUAUGAUUUAUUCAUAUUAUAAUAACAAUAAUAAUAAUAAUAUUAUUAUUAUUAUUAUUAUUAUUAUUUAAAUAUAUUAAUUAUUCUUAUUUUUAGUAAAAAUAUUUUUAAAUAAAAAAUUAAUUAUUCAAUCAAAUAUAGAAGUCAAACACCAUCCCAAACAAAAACUAGUUAUUUUAUAUUUUAUUUUACAAAAGUAAUGUUGCAUUAGAAAGGUAUUUGUAAGAAGAAAAGAAGGAAAGUGAUAAAGAAAAAAGAAAAUUUAAAUCUAAUAUUAUUUUUUCAUAUUUCUUAAAAUCAUAUUUUUUUUUAAAAUAUUUUUAUUAUAGUUGAGUAUUUUUUUUAAUUUUUUAUUUAAUUUUCCUACCAUUUUUCUAAUCCAAAUUGACUCUUACCUUGUUGGUUGAAGCAAUAAUAGGUGGAUGCAAUGUUAUUCCUAGAAAAGAAUAUUGUAUUAAAUAUUUUUUAUUUUUAUGGUAAUAAUGAAAUCUCUAUUUAGUAAAUGAAAAAUAAUUUUAAUAUUUUUAAAAUUCUAAUUAAAUAAAAUUAUUUUUCAUUAUUUUUAUGAAUGUUCGAAUAAUAAUUAUUGAGCUAUUUAGAUCGAUGGCAAUAAAUAUAAAAAAUAAAAAAUAUUUAUACCAUCUACUUUUUAUCAUUAUUUUUAGUAGAAAAAUAUGUUAAUUUUUAGGAGGAAUAUCUGAUUUAUAUAUAAUCUUUGUUAUUACCUUUUAAAGGUAAUCAUUUCCAAAGGUGACAUAGGUGAAAUAUUCCCAUCUAAUGUUAAUACUCCAUAAUUUUCUCGACAAAGUGACGUGGGUUUCAACCAUAAAAACAAAGAGAUUAGAAAAAACUAAGCAAUGAAUACAUAAUCAGAUCAUAAAACCCUAAAAAUAAGAAAAACGGUUUAGAUUAUUCUUAUAAGUUUUGGCUUUUAAACUAAAACCCUAAAAUUAGAUUAUGUCCCAAUUGACAAGAAUAGAGGUGCAUUUUCCGUAGUUACUAGUGGACAUGAGGGCAUUUGCGUCUUUUCAUUGCUCGGAUUCCUGGCCGGUGAAGCAAUAAGAGGAAAGACAGCUUCUGAGGAAAUCGCAGAGGGGACAGAAAGCGAAGCCAAAGAAGAAACCUAAAAUUUCUCUCUCUAGAAUUUCACACUCUAGAUUCAACAAUAGCUCUUUUGACUCUCUUUCGUUGAAAAAUUAGGGUUAGGGGUUUUCUAAUUUUCUUCAAUUUGGGGCUUGAUUUUGACCUGUUUCUGACCAAAUUGUAUAUAUCAUAGUGGUGAUUGUUAGAGUUUUUUUUGAGGGGUUUUGGAUCUGGGUCUUGUGUGUAAUUGCUUGAAAUUCAGAAAUUGAUCUGGGUUUGUUGUGAGGAAGCCAUGGCUGUUCCGACAAUUGCGUUGUACGCGAGUCCACCGAGCAGUGUUUGCUCGGCGUCGCACCCUUGCCAGAUCAACUCACACUCCUCGCACGAUUUCGAGCUGAAUUCGAGAUCUUCGUCGUCGGCGACGGCGUCUCCAUCGCAGAGGCCGGCCAUGGGGGGUCUCUCGUGCCUGUUCUCCUCGCCGGCGGUGAAGCACGCCGGCGGCGAAGAGUUGGGGUCGAUGUGGCACGACAGGGGCGAAGAGCUGAGCAGCUCCUUCUGCUAUUUGGGAUCGUCGUUGAAACGAGAUCGGAGCGAAUCAAGCCCGGUCUCGGUGUUUCAAGGCCCGGUUUCGUGUAGCAGCAGCGUUGGUGGGUCGUCCAGAAGCCCCCCGAUGAGAAUUGCCCGCGAAAGGAGCGGCGGCGAUGGGGUUUCCAGGGUUGGAACCAGUGGGUUGUUCAGUGGAUUUGUUAGAGGGGCUCUGGGUUCCUAUAUCGAUUAUGAUUCGCCCACCUUUGAGAUUGGUGGUGGUGCCCUCAAUGCGGAUUCCUCAUCAGUUCUGGUAGAUGAAUUGACCUUCAAUAUGGAAGAUAAUUUUCCGGACAGUAACUCCGAGCCUCAUGUGAAAGAUUUGCUCUUGGGUGCUCAAUUGAGGCACAAAAUAUUCUCUGAGGAUUUCGUUGUCAAGGCUUUUUACGAGGCCGAGAGGGCGCAUAGAGGGCAGGUAUAAUUUUGGUCGUGAAUUUUGAAAUAGAUUUUCUGGUUUUUUGGAUGUUUGAAUUUAUGAUGAUGGGUAUCCUAUUGCCCUUUUUGUAGAUGCGAGCCAGUGGGGAUCCUUAUUUACAGCAUUGUGUGGAGACUGCCGUCUUGCUGGCGAAAAUUGGUGCGAAUUCAACCGUCGUUGUUUCGGGGCUUCUCCAUGAUACCCUUGACGAUUCUUUUAUGGGUUACGAUGAUAUUUUUGGGACUUUUGGAGCUGGGGUUGCUGAUUUGGUUGAAGGGGUAAGAGGCAUACUUAGAAUCUAAGUAUUUGUGCUUAAAGAUACUGUUUGCUGCUGAAAAUUGAUUGUGGUAUUUUUUUUUGUUAAUGUUCAAAGCCCUUUUUCUAAAGGAAUCUUCUUUGGAGCAUUUACAGACAUGAUUACUGUUGAUGACCUAUUCAAUUGAGAUAUAAAGGAAUCAGAUGUGAACUAGUUAAAAAAGUGCUUAUGAUCUAAGUUUUAUGUUAGAUUUACAUCAAUGCGGAAGUUGGAGUCUGAUAUGAUUAAUAGAUCACUUGGAUUAUGUGUAAAUAGGUUAUAGUUGUAGCUGUUAUAUUACUUAUGUGGUUGGCUUGAAUUAGAAUCACAAAUUCACAGUGCUCCAUCUUCGAGAUAUUCUUAGACUUACAUCAUUUUGUCAUGGAAUAUUUUGCCAUGAGGUGUGAAUUAAUGAUUGUGUUCUAAGAUUAAAAAAUAUUUUUAUAUGUUUAUGUUUUAUUUCAAUGGAAGAUACAAGGUAUAAUGUUUGGUAUAGAUCGUGUGGUUAAGUAGUUAUUGUUUUGUUUUCAUCCUAUCAAUUGCUUCUUGUGGUAAUAAAGAAAUGAUUAAAGCGUAACAUCUAUUAUGGUGUUCUUUUCCACGGCUAGAGACACUUCUAAGUUGGCAUGAUUUUUGUUUGGGAAGAAAACAUGAGAAGGUAUGGGAAGCUGUUUCUGUGUGCAUUUUUUGAAUGAUUUGGAAGGAAAGAAAUCCAAGAGCGAUCAAAAGCUUAAAUGAACAAAGUAACCUUUUAGUAUGGGUUUGGUUCUACAUAAAAGAAAGCAUAAUGCCUUUGAUUUGUAGAUUGGUUGCAAUUGUUCCGUGGGGGAAUGUUGUUUUUUUGUGUUAUCUCUUUUUUUAUAUUGCCAUUUUGUACCCUUUGUUAAGUCUUGUGUACUUAGAUGUCUGUUAUGUCAAUCACUAUUUUUCCAUGUUACUCCUUUUUUUAUUUGUUUUUGCUGGUGGUGGAGGCAGGCAUGGUUUCCAGAUUUUAAGGUUAUAUUAAUGUGGACCUUAUGGUACUGUGUCUCUUAGUGAUUCUACUUUCCUUGUGUUUUCCUUGCUUAACAAACAAUGACAGGGACCACUAACAUGCAUUUUGUACUGAAACUUGAUAAGAUCUCAUGAUUUUUAAAGAGUUCAUACUUUUGUAGUGUAAAUUGGCAAUAUUAUUUAUUGGAUUUUGAAAUUUUUAAACAUUUUCCUCAGUUUGCUUCAUGAUACAAGCAGUUCAUAAGAUAUAGUUUUUGUUCCUAGUAAAAUCAUUGCAUGUUUAUUUUGGUAUAAUAUACUGAUAAAAUAUUCAAUUUUUUAGGCUUCUAAAUACCAUUUGAUGACAUUUGUUAGGUGUCUAAGCUAAGUCAAUUGAGCAAGCUAGCACGUGAUAACAAUACAGCAAGUAAAACGGUUGAGGCAGAUCGAUUGCACACCAUGUUCCUUGCCAUGGCAGAUGCCAGGGCUGUCCUCAUAAAGUUGGCAGAUCGAUUGCAUAAUAUGAUGACACUGGAUGCAUUGCCUUUGGGCAAGCAACAGAGGUUUGCUAAGGAAACUCUGGAGAUAUUUGUGCCAUUGGCCAACCGGCUAGGAAUCUCUACUUGGAAGGAACAACUAGAAAACCUGUGUUUCAAGCAUCUCAAUCCAGAUCAGCAUAAAGAACUAUCCUCCAAGCUUGUGAAGUCCUUCGAUGAGGCUAUGAUUACUUCUGCUAAAGAGAAAUUAGAGCCAGCCCUUAAGGAUGAAGCCAUUUCUUACCAUGUUUUAUCUGGGAGACACAAAAGCUUGUAUAGCAUUUACUGCAAAAUGUUGAAGUAUGUCGUCCGUUUCUCUUCCCGUAUUUGUCAUACUAUAUGUUUUCAUAAAAUUCAGACUUGGAAAGUAAUUGCUUUUGAAUUGUGCAGAAAGAACAUGACCAUGGAUGAGAUACAUGAUAUUCAUGGAUUACGAUUGAUUGUUGAAAAUGAGGAAGACUGUUAUAAAGCACUUGGAGUUGUUCACCGAUUAUGGUCUGAAGUGCCUGGAAGGUUCAAGGACUAUAUAAAGCAUUCCAAGUUUAAUGGGUAAGUUAGGGAUGAAAGUGAUUGUGCAUUAUUUUAUGUGUUUGUUUGUUUCCCCCUUUUUUUUUUAUUUUUUAUUUUAAUUUGUAGGUACCGAUCUCUUCAUACGGUGGUGAGGGGUGAAGGCAUGGUUCCACUUGAAGUUCAAAUCCGAACAAGGGAAAUGCAUUUACAAGCCGAGUAUGGAUUUGCAGCUCAUUGGAGAUACAAGGAAGGUGACUGUACGCACUCUUCAUUUGUGCUUCAGAUGGUUGAGUGGGCUCGAUGGGUGGUCACUUGGCACUGUGAGACGAUGAGCAAAGAUCAAUCACCUGUUGGCUAUGAUAAUUCCAUCAAGCCACCCUGCAAGUUCCCAUCUCAUUCUGAUGGUUGCCCAUUUUCUUAUAAACCGGACUGCAGCCAGGAUGGACCUGUCUUUGUCAUCAUGCUGGAGAAUGAUAAGGUUUGCUUUUGAAAUUUCUAUAUUUAUUUUAGAAAAAAUAUUCCUCUGAUGACCAGGUGGGUCCACUUGAGACGACUUCAUUAUGCCAAUACCAUUUCAAUUCUAUUCCAGUCAAACUUGGUUUGAUUUUGAGGCCUUGAUUUUAUGUAAAUACCUCAUGCUGAUAUUGUAUCAUCCAUCAGUAAACCAUAUCCAUUUCUUCCAUUUUCUCACUCUGGAUCGACCAGUUCAUGAAUACUAAGCAAAACAUUUCUGGGUUUGUGAACGUUGCAGAUGUCGGUCCAAGAAUGCCCUGCAAACUCAACCAUAAUGGAUCUGUUGGAAAGAACCGGGCGGGGAAGCUCAAGAUGGACGCCCUAUGGGUUUCCAAUCAAGGAAGAACUGAGGCCACGGCUGAACCAUGAGGCUGUGAACGACCCCACUUGCAAACUGAAGAUGGGGGAUGUGGUGGAGCUAACUCCAGCCAUACCAGACAAGUCUUUGAUAGUGUACAGGGAAGAGAUCCAGCGGAUGUAUGAGCGGGGCGUGAGCGUAUCGAGCAAAUGGUCUGCAGCUAGUAGCAUGGUUGGCUGGAGAAGUUAACCUUUGGUUUGUCUGUUGGUUUCUACCCUUAUAGAGUGCAUUACCAUUCAAUGAUAAUCAUUCUUGUAUAUACAUGAUAGAUAUUUGUACAGAAGAGCUUUAUGGUUCUGGUAUGAGUGGAAAAUUGACUAACUUAGAUUGACCAAGGACCAAAAGUUUGAUCUCCAGCUAUUGAUUCAUCGAUAUAAUAGAAUUCUACCUUGCCUCAGUCCAAUUUGGUGUUUCCUUUUAUUUUUUUUUAAUUUUAUUUACAUGCAUCUUGAUUGGAGUAUUGCUUUUGAGAAACCUGCUUGAUAUGAUCAUAUUUGGGAAGCGAAGCAAAUUCCUCAUUUUUUUUUUAUUUUUUUAAUUAUUCUUAGUUAUUACUUUAUUUGACCUUUUUAAUCUUUUAUUUCUUUUAAAAUGGUAUAAAAUAAAUUGUAAUAAAAAAUAAUAAAUUUCUAAAGGAAUGCUUUAUCCUUUUUUUUAGUUCUAAUAAAUGAAACUUAAAAUUAAAUAUAAUAAUUAGGACGAUAAAAAAUUUAAAGAUAAAUAUCAAAAUUAAUAUCUAAGAUAAAUUAUAAUAAUUAAUAUAAAAAAUGCUAGAUGAAUUGUAUUUGUAUUAUACAAUUAGUACAAUUUUUUUUAAAUUUUUUUAAACUAAUCCAAGUUUAUUAAUCUGUUUCACAAUGGUGUUUCCACACUUUUAAUAAAAAAGUAUUUAAAAGUAUUUUUUUUUUUUAAAUUAGAUGUCUGACAAAAUUUAAUAAAUAUUUUUAAAAAUAUAAAAAAUCGUAAUGUUUUAUAAAAAAAAUUCUUGAUAAAUAAUUUUCCUAAAAAUACUUUUCAAGAAAAUAAUUCCCAGUGAAAAUAUUGAGAGAUUUCACUAACAAAACGAGACAUGACUGACAUGAUCUUAUUUUCAUCUUUUAAAUGCUAGUUUCUUAAAGGUUAAAAGUCAGAAGCAUGAGAAGCAUAUUCCAUUAAAGACAACAAAUUACACCAAUUAUUGAAUAUUCUUAUGAUUUUGAAAGAAAUAUAGAUCUUUCCACCCAAUUCCUACUACAAUUUAGGGUAACAAUACCUUGAUGAGAAGAAUUCCUAAACAUCGGAUAGAUCUCCUAAACAUCUAACAUAAUAAAUUUUCACCUUGGGCGUUUAGCUCCAAUGGGAAAUGAUACCCUUUGAGGAGUGUGCUGGGGCAAAUCUGUCCUCCCUUCCUGGGAAGCGUGGGAGGGAUCAGCACCUUCUUCGUCUUCUUCUGUUUCUUCCACUGCUUGGGCUGUUCUCUUCUUUGGGAUAGCUAGUUGGUAGUUCGGGCUGAUCAAUGUGUCCUGUUCAGGUGGGAGAGGGAUUCCAGGCCCUGCAAUUGAUUUUGGCAGUGGGAUCUUGUUCCUGUUUCUAGCCAACUCUAGAAGGACCUGAUGAAUGGAACAGUUAGAUUAUAUAUGCUAUAGACAUAUUGAUAUGGAAUAACACUGGUAAUUAACCAAAUACCGGGUCAGAGAAGAGAGGAGAGGAGUCAGGAUUCCCACAGACCUAAGUCUCAGUCUGAAUUGGGUCUCACAGACUGAGAGGAAAUGGGAAUAGGAAAAGUAAAGAAGAAAAUAAAGUGUGAACAUAAUCUCUCUUUCACUCUUCCCCUUGCUUUUCUUUAUAUGUCAAACAGAAAAUGUAGAUUUCCAACACAUAAAUUUCUCCUAGACUUCAUCAUGUUUGUUUCCAUUCCUUUCUAUCACUAAAACUAAACCAUAAAAUAUUGAAAUUCCUUCGAAUUUUUUUCCCUCGCCUUCAUAGACUAAAAGCCUCGCCAAGCAACCAAAAAACAAAAAGAAGAAAAAAUGUUGAGCAGAAUCAUAUUCCUGGAAGAGAUUAUAAGGAUGGGUUAGCGGUAUGAGUGGUAGAAUCCACCAUUUCUUACUAUUAACAAGCCCAUCCAAUGUAAUAUGGGAGAUGAGAUUAAAAAAAGGAGGAAACAGGAAAUUAGGGAAACAAAUACCAGAUUUUGCAUGGUUCAUCAGAUUCCAAUUCUCAUAGGGUACAAACAAACAAAAGCAGUGACAGAAAAAACAUGAUAUUCUUACACUAGGUUGUUACUUAAACCCAAAAUGAAAAAUUAGUUGUCAACAAAUUAGGUGCUUUUUUUAUGACCUUUUUUUUGGUUAAGUGAUUUCUUUUCUAUGAAGAACAAAAAAUUGUUGUUUCCAACCUCAAUACUUUUCCAUUUGAAUCCCAGAAAAAAAUGAGGGAAAGGAAAGAAAACGCUAAAAACAGCAUUGUUUUUCAGCAAUGUAAAGAACAAAUUCUAAAUUAUUUUUUUAGCACUGUUCUCCCCUUCCCACCAUACUAAACAACAUCCAACCCAAGCCUAAACUUGCUCAACUGGCAACAUGCCUAUAAUCAACUUUUGCUUUGUCACUCAACCAGAAUCCCAAUCUCUAAAGCUUGCAUCAUAUCCAAUUAAGCUUUUGUUCAACACCCAAGUUUGAUAGGUACAAUACUCCACAAUUAAACCUGCAUAAACUGAUACAAGUGAACCCCAUUUGUCUAAAGCCUUGACCUUCAAAACAAGAAAUGAUACCCAAUUCAAUUUGUUUUGAGAAUCCAACAAUCAAAAUAAGAUCAAGAACAUUGUAAAUUUAGCAUAACAAGGAAAACUAUUAAAGGCCCAGGCUUCAAAACAAGUUCAAUAUCAAGAACAUGAAAAAUUUAGGAAAAUUACCUCUCUUGCUGGGGGCUGAGAGAAGCUGAAGUUGACUUUAGACUGAAUUGCAAGCUUCACAUCAUCACAGUCAAUUGCAGGCUUACUGGCAUGCUCUGAAUAUACCUGGGCAUCAGUCAAAACAUCCACAACAUACCGAUACCACAGCUCCAGAAACUGGUGUAUAACUCGAGGCUCAUAGUCAUCAACACCCAUUGAUUUCAGCAGUGAUUUCACAAUCUUUGCAUCCCUUGGCAAGUCCUCAUCUCCCUCUGCCAUUCUCUCAACUGCCCCUUUCACACGAAUCAAUAGCCAAUAUUAAAAAAACUCUUUCUUUACACCAAUUAUAUGUGCAGUGAGUGUUUUCACAUGAACCAAUCAUGAACAUUCAGAAUUUUCCUUCGCACCAAACAGAUAAAACUAGCAAAAUAAAAUUCAACACUCAAACGAAAAUACAGAAAAUUUGAAAAUUAACUUUGAAUCAUCAACAGACUUCGGGCAAAUUUCUUGGACGUAAAGAGGCCAAAGCGAAACUAAGAUUUUGGACUGUUAUAGACUAUAUUAAAAAAAUUCUUCCUUUACACGAAUUAUAGGUACAGUAAGUGCUUUCAGAUGAACCAAUCAUCACUAUUCACAAUUUUCCUUCGCACCAAAAAGAUAAAACUAACAAAAUCAAAUUCAAUACUAAAACGAAAAUACAGAAAUUUUGUAAAUUAACUUUGAAUCAUCAAGAGACUCGGGGCAAUGUUCUUGGACGUACAGAGGCCAAAUCGAAACUAAGAUUUUGGAUUUUUCGAAACGCAUCGUUUCAUCUAGGGCUUUACAUCCCAGAUCCAUGGUGAGAGAAAGAGAGAGCUUUGCUUACCGGUAAGGGAUGAUUGGGCGGAAAGUUUUUCCGGAGCAGUACAGGUUCAAAUAAUCGGCGAACUAUGGGGAAAAGGAGAAUCGCCGGCGACGACUUGAGCGGCGAUGACAGUAUUGAAUGGGAGGAGAGUAGGGAUUCGCCCUAAGCAGAAAAGAAAAAUACCAAACGCACCCUCCUCAGGUUUUGGGUAAUAUCAAGGAUACCCCUGUACUUUUCGGGAAAUUUCAUGUUGGGGGAGGCCCAAAUACGAAAAAAAUUUCUCAAUUAAAUACAAAAUUCUCAAUCCUUUUUACAAUAUUUUUUUAAAAAAUUCUCAAUUAUUUUCGUCAAAAAUUCUUGAAAAAUUAUUUUUAAUAAAAAAAUUUACUAAAUAGUUUUUUGAGAUUUAAAAAGUCUUGGAUAUAUUUGAUACGAACGUAAAUGAUAAUAAUCGAAUGUUUUAAAAUAUUUAAUUUAUUGGGUUAAUUUGUUUUUGUGUAAGUCGGUUAAAACUAGAUUAAAGAAUUGAUAUCAAAUUCAAAAGUUAAGCGAUAAAAAAUGAUUUUAAAUUAUUUUAAAAAUAUAAUUUUGUUUGAAAAUUCAAAUAUACAAGUGAAUUGAUUUAUUUUUAUUUUUAUGUUUUGCAAAAACAAAAUUUUUUAAGAAACUCUUUGCUUAAAAUUAAUUUAAGAGAAGUAAAAAUAUAUAUGUAUAUAUUUAAAAAAAAUAAUAUAUGAGUGAGAAAAAUAUUACUUCUUAUAAGCUUUACUUUACUUUACUUUAUUUUCUUAAUUUAGUUUUUCAAUGGGGUUUAGAUUUAUUUUUUAUUUUUUAUUUAUAAUAUGACUCAAAUAUUGUCCAAAUCAUAAUGAAAAAAAAUCAUCAUACAUUGGCCACAAAGAAUCCAUCAAUCCAAACACCAAAUUUCAAUUAUUCCUACAUUCACUACUACAUGAAAACAAACAUUAAAAUCCAUUAUUAAUUCCUCUAUCUCCAAAAGAAUUCUUGAGCAGACUCUUGCCAUGAGAGCACAAGCACAAGCAUCACCAGCACAGCAGCUAGUCCCCAUGAUGAGCUCCCAAUUCUCAGCACCCAUGACGGAUCUGGAGAUGGAACUGCACCCGAAGAAGACGACGAUGAAGAUGAAGAUGAUGAUGUUAUUUUGAUGCCUAUUAUAAGGCCUGCAAGAACCAUAGGAAGAAGAAAAGCACUUGACGAGCUCAAGAACCUUGCCUCAUAAUGUGUAUUGUACAGUGGUGAAAGCACUAUUGAAGAAGCCAAGGCAAGAGCCAUGGCUCGUGCUCUUGUACUAGAAAUGCUGCUGCUUGGGCUUUGGCUUGUGCGAGUAGUGUAGGGAUCCAUCGAUCUCAAUAUGCCAAAACCCCUAGUCGAAGUUGGGGUUUUGUUGCGGACAGGGGGUGGAGGAGAGGAAGAAAUCUAGGUGUAAAGGUCGAGAAUUGAGUGGGGGAAAGGGGGAUGGAGUCCAAAAAGUUAAAAAGAUAAAGGUAAAAUAUGAAUUGAAUAGUGGGAAAAAUGAAGGGGAUCUUGAAAGAAGUAUUGGGAAGCAAGGUAUCUUUAGGUGUGGGAAUGAGUGUGUUCACACCAAAGCCAUUGGUGUUGGUGAGAUAGAUAUAGUCAUUUGCUUUGGAAAAUUGGCAUGCAGCUGUUUGUUUCCAAGUUGGAGGAGGAAAUGUUAAAGGAUCUUUCUAUAAAAAGAAGGUAAGAAAAGUUGAUAGAAAGUGUUUGUUUUAAUAAUUUAGUUUUAUUUCUUUUUUAUAAUUUUAUUAUAUAUAUAUAUUUCUUUCUACUUUAUUUCCUUUCAUUUUUAGUAACUGUACAUAAUUUUAAAGAAUUCAACUUAUCUAUUUAUAAAUUAUAUUUAUUUUAAUAUAAUUAAAAAUAUAAAAUAAUAACUCAAAAUUUUUAAAGAUAACGUGCUCGUAAAGUAUAUACAAGAGAGUUUGUGAGGUGGGAUAGUCAUAUAAAAUAUCUUAAAGUUGGAAUUAGUAACUAUGACUUUUGAUAUGAGGUUUAACUCAUUCAAUUAGUUCGUAAUCUUCUUAAACUCACCUGCUACUCAUUCCUAUUGACAAUGAUGAUGUUACGAGACUUUUUUUUCUUUUCUUCAUUAUGGUAUUUUUUAGAAAAAAAAAAAACCAAAAGACUUUCACAAGAAACCAUAGUUACCUUCCUUUUAUCUUAGGAUUUUCUUUUAAGUUACAAGUUGUUUUAAUAAAAUAACCUAAAUAAAAACUCUUUUUAAUCUACUUUUAAAUCAAUUUUUAAAAAUAAAAGUCUUUUUCUUAGGGAUUAAUCAUUUUUUAUAUCUAUGCGGUACAUUUUAUGAAAAGAACUUAUGAUUCAAAGGCAAAAAAAGAAAACUUAAUAUGAAAUCUAAAAAAACACUUUUUAAUAUUUUGGAUUAAACAAUUUCUUGUAAUAGGAAGGUUUUUUUUUUUUUUUUUUUUUGUGUUUAUAAUAUUAAUAUUAUCUUUUGAAAGUUAUGAUUUUAACUACACUUUUUAACUUUUACCAUAAAAAUCAAAAUUUACAUUUAGAAAACUUGUAAAAAGUAGAUCCAAACAAACCAAUAAAAAAAAAACUAUAUAUAAUAAUGCACAAGUUCCAUCUACUUAGGAAAGUAAAAAGAAAAUCAAAGAAGCACUCAUCCCAAAUCACAGUGUGGUGUGCUUCCUAAGGCAAGCAAAUAUUCCCAUCACAAGGAUUUGUUUUCCCCUUUUGUUUUGAUAUAGUAGUGGGGUAAGUAAGUCAAGCAACCCAUAUGUCCAUUGUUUUCAAUUGUAGGUUGAGUUUUGUUUCUUUCUACCUUCUUUGAAAGUUGUUAAAUGUUGUAUCAUGUGAAGUUAAUUGGUCGAAAGACUUGUACAAUAUAUUUCUCUUUCAAAAUCUUCACAAUCUUCAUGGAAAGAAUUUGUCGGCCAACAUCAUGAACUUUAAGUAUUAUUUUAAUUCAUUUUUGUUGUGUAUCAAUUAAAAGUUUUGAAAAUGUCACACGUCAAUCCAUUGUAAUUAUGAUAUAAAUUUUUUUAACAAACAUCUAACACAUCUUUACACAAAACUACAUAGACAUAGUCCUAUGUGUAUUUACGUGCCCUUUUAGGACUAGGUAGACAAGUUCUAUAAUGGGUUAAUGAUUGACUCCCUACUUCCCUUAUAACCAUUAUUUAUUUUGAGUUUAUCCCGACUUUUGUUUUCUUAAAGAAAAUAUCAAUAAUAUAAAAUAAUUUAUAAUUGAAACAAAACUUUUUUAAAGAACAAUAUCAAUAAGUUUGGUAACGUUUUUUCUCGUGUUUUAUAAAUUAAUGAAAAAAAUAAAUUUAAUUUAAGAAAAGCUUGAUAUAGAAAUUAGGAAAAAUAUCUCUAUUUUUUUUUUUAUUAAGAGAGAAGCGAAUUUUUGUAGCUAUUUGGAACAUGUAUCAUUUUCUCCUAGUGGUGUUUUAAAAAAUUUAAAAUAUUUAUCAUAUGUAUUUUUGUAAUAAGAGAAAAUUAGGGGGCAAAUAAGGCAAAUCAGUUGCAAAAGUUAGUUCUAAUACGAAGCAGAUUUUGAGGUCAGGUGAGGAAUGAAACGCGCAACAUGUCAGAAAAAUCUCAUAGUAUUCCGAAAAUGCCCCUAUGAUCAAGUCCAACUAUAAAAACCACCGCGAAAAAGAGGCUCAACAGACACCACCACCACACUCCAUGGCUUCUCUCCACCUCUGGCGUCUUCUCUCCCUCUACAUCUCCUCCAUUGCCGCCGUCCUUCGCCGUGCCUCCCCCGCUCUUUCCCGCCUCAUCCGCUGUUCAAUCAUCGUCACCCUCAUCGAAUCCUGCCUCUCUCUAUACUUCAUAUUCCUCGGCCUCUCCCCCACCACCGUGGAACUCGAUGACCACACCACCGUCCACUUCUGGACCUCCGCCCACCGCCGCUUCAGCCGCCCCAACCUCGUCCUCGUCCACGGCUUCGGCGGCAACUCGCGGUGGCAGUUCCUCCAGCUGGUGGGUCCUCUCUCCAGGUCCUUCAACCUAUACGUCCCCGACCUGCUCUUCUUCGGGAAAUCACACACUUUCCGCCGGAACCGGAGCGAGGGGUUUCAGGCGAGGUGCGUGGUGGAGGGGCUGAGGGGAUUGGGUGUGGGGAGGUGCAGGGUGUUCGGGAUCAGCUAUGGUGGAUACGUGGCGUAUCGGAUGGCGGAGAUGUGGCCGGAGGUAGUGGAGAGGGUGGCGAUUGCAAGCUGUGGAAUUGGGUAUACGGAGGAGCAGAAGAGGGAACACUUAGGAAAGCUCGGGAGGAGUGUGACGGAGAUUUUCUUGCCGGAGAGUCCAAAGAAUCUCCGGCGACUGCUGAAUCUCUCCAUAUACAAGUUCGAUCCUCUCAAAUGGGCCCCUGACUUUUUUCUUCAACAUUUAAUAGAUGUAAGUUGCACCCAUCUAACCUUACGACCAUCUAUUUCAAAAUUAAUGCAAUUAAAUCAUAGAUAAUGAAAUGGAAAAAAGAAGAUAAGUCUUGAUAAAUAAUUAGGGUUUUAGAUAUAAAUAAUUUAUAUCAAAUUCCUACAAAUAAAUAAAAUAUUGAUAUUAAUGCUUCCAAGUCUUAUGGUGAUGGAUGAAAGAUUGAUUUUUUUUUUUAAUCAAAUUAAUUACUUUAGCCAAAUGGGAAAAAAAAAUACUAAAUCAUUUGUAUUUCUAUGUAGUAACUAAUAAUUUUAUAUAUAUAUAUAUAUAUAUAUAUAUAUUUUAUUUAUUAAAAUGAUAACUUAAUAAAAUUCAAACUAGUGAUUUUCAAGAGAUUAAAAUUGUUAAAGAAUAUGAUAUAACCCAAAUCCUACAAUCUUAAACUUUUAGGAAAAUUGGUUGUUCAAUAUGAUAUCAGAACUUGAUUAAGUUUCUGUAAUUUGCAUGUUUGUUUUUUUAUUUAAUAUAUAUGUUAGAUAUGAAUUCAAUUUAAUUUGUCUCUCCAUGUGCAACCCCGAUCUUAAGAAGUAUGUUUAAGUUCUUAGAAAAAUUAGUUGUUUAAUAUAGUAUUAGAGUAAAAUUGAUUUUUAAUGGAACAGUUGAUUUAUGAUCUCAUUAAAAAGAGUUCAAAAUAAGAAACUCUAAAUUUCAUUCUCUCUUUUUCUCUUUGAGUCUAUUUGGAUUUCACAAAUUUAAGAGUUUCCAUCGAGUAAAAUGUUAUAUCAUAAGUUAUAUGUAUCAAAGUCACGUAUUAAUGAAUAAUUUAAAAUGUUGUUAUCAAAUUAAUAACUUAAUAUGAUGUAAUCGAAGAGUGAUGAUUCUUAAUAGGUUAGUGUUAAGAUCUAAGCUCAAAUUCAGUAAAAUGAUAUUUUUGAUGCAUAUUACAUAUUUUGAUAAAAGGAAAUAAUAUAUAUAUAUAUAUUGAAUUUACACUUUUAGCUCAAUGAUAUCUAAAGUUUUAACCACAUGAAAUCUAAGAUUUAGUUGUGGUUUGGUAAAACUUAAAACUUAUUAUUUAAUGAUUUAAGUUGACUUUAAAUUAAAAUUUUUUUAAAUUAUGAACUUAAAUUUAUUAUUUUAAGUAUUAAAGUUGUUUGGUAAAACUAACUUAAAAGUUAUUUCAAGCUAUUCAAUUAAUAUAUUUACCCCAUUAGUUGUAAUUAAUAUUUAUUAUUAAUUUUUUUAAUUAAUAUUUAUUUUCAUUAAUUUUAAAUAAUAAAAUUGUUUAUUUAACAUUCAUACUUAAUGUACCUUAGAUUUAUGAGAUAAUCUUAAAAUAUUUACUAUAAAAAAUAAGUUAUAGAUUUGAAGUCAUAAUUGUGAAAUAUAUUCUUGUUAGAUAUGAGUAAAUAAGACAAAAAUAAAAUAAAAUUAUGAUUAAAAAUUAGUUAGCUAUUUUAACCUAAUAUUUAAAGUCAUUUUUAAUUUUAAAUUAUGAUAUUAAGUUAUUUUAUCAAACAUGUUUAAUCUACUAAAUAAGUUAAAUUAAAUUAUUAAGUCCUUGGGUUGCAAAAGCCUGAAACAUAUGUUUAAGAGUAUUUAUCCCUAAUAUUUGAAAUGGGUUGUGGCUCAUUAGGCAAUGUUGAAGGAUUACAGAAAGGAGAAGUUAGAGUUGCUUGAGCACUUGCUGGCCCAGAAAGCUGAUCCAGACAUUCCCAUUCCCCCUCAGGUAAGAAAAGUAAAAAAUAAAUAAAUAAAUAAAAAUUCAUAGCAGUUUCAGAAAAUUUCCUCAUUGUUUCAUAUUUAUGAGACUUUAUUCAAAAAAUGAGACUUUAUUCAAAAAUUUCAUAUCAUUAAUUUUCCUUUUUUAGGGUACUUUUUUUUUUUUAUAACCUUGGAUGUCCGGACCAGCUUACGUACAUCUCGACUAAUUUCACGGGACCCUGAAGUUAACGAUCGGGUAAGCCUCAAGUGGCCUUGAGGGGACUAUAACCGGUGAUCAUUGGGAAACAAACCCAAGACAGGACCUUUUUUGGGCACUUUUCAAUUCUUAGAAAAUGGGUUUCCUUUUUCUUGGACUUGGAUUAUAUAUCAAUCCUUAGUUUCCUUUUGUCAUUAGAUGUAUCUUAUGGCUUUUCAAUUCAAUUCCGAAUCAAUAUCAAAGCCUUUAAGGUUACAUUUAUUUUCAAGUACGUUUUAGGUUUGUCCUUAAUUGCAUUAUGCCAUUAGCUGUAUCAUAUGUCUUUUCAAUUCAAUCCAUCCAUGACAAAUCACUAUCAAAACCUUCAAAAUUAAACUUAUUUUGAUGUGGGUGAAGGAAACAAUGCUCAUUUGGGGUGAUAAGGACGAUGUAUUUCCACCCUUGCUGGCUUUCCAACUGCAAAGGUAUCUUCUUCAUUUUAAACCCACUUUGUGAUGUUUUUGUUUUUGUCUUCAGUUUGUAACAUAUGUUGUGGGCGCAGGCACUUUGGUCCAAAGACAAAGCUGGAAAUAAUCAAGGACACAGGCCAUGCUUUAAACAUCGACUCGCCUGCUCGGCUAUAUGAAUUGAUCGAGUCCUUUUCUUUGGGUUGUUCCAAUUCCAAGGAUGAUGAUAUAUGAAAACAAAUUUGUUGAAGUUAUGUCACAAAACUCUUUCGUUGUUCCUAAUGAAAAGGAUAUGACAUCGUUGUUGUUGUUUUACUUUUUGCUCGUGUUUUAGUAUUAUUAUAUUUUUUAUCUUAUUCUUUAUUGAUUAUUAAUAUAAUUAAAUAAAAAAUGAUUUAAUUUAUUUAUAAAAAUAAAUUAUGAAAUUUUAUGAUAUUUAUUCAUUUAUAAAUAACAUUUAUUUUUAAUUUAAUUAAAAAUUUUAAAAUAAAAAAAAUAUUAAAUAAAAUGAAAUAAUUAAGGCUACAACUUGAGUGAGUUGGUUAGAUCGAUGACAAAUCAAGUCCAACUCCAAUUAAGAAAUAAUUAAUCCAAAACUCAAUCCAACCUGAUUUUAACUCGAGGUACUCAAUUCAAACCCAAUCCAACCUUAUUUUUUUAAAUUCGGGUUGUUCAAGUUAGAUUCGAGUUGAUCGGAUUAGACUUGGGUUAGCCUGGUUGCAUAAUUUAAAUUCUAUCUAUGAUAUUAUUUUAUUGUAUUUAUAUGAAAAUUUAAAUAACAAAUAGGACAAAAUUUCUAUAUAGGAAUAAAAGAAUAAAUAUAUAUUUAUAUAUUUUCUAAAAAUAAUGAAAAACAUAUGAUAUAAUUUAAUUUGAUAUUUUUCUUAAAAAUAGAAAAAUAAAAUAAAUAUUAUUAUAUAAGAUAAAAUGCAUUAUAAAUAUUAUAAAAAUAUUAAAUCCAUUUGGAUUAGACUCGAAUUAUCCAAAUCUUAACUUGAAUCCAACUCAAGCGGAGCUUAGAUUGAAAAAAUCUAACCUAAGUCCAAUUCAAGUAUUAAAAAUAAUUGUUUAAACUCAUUCAAACAUUAGGUUGAACAAGUUGAGAUACAUGUGAUUCGUCUUAAACGUGACUAUUAAUGUUGUUUUCUUGGUCAUAUACAAGUUAUGUUUUUUUUUAUAUAUUAAUAUUUAGUCUUUUUUAUUUAUUUAAAUUUAUUUAUUUUUUGUAUUUUGAUAUUAUUUAUUUAUGAUUAAGUAUUUUUUUUAUAUGUAUAUAUCUUUAUAUAAUAAUCUAAAUUUAAUAAUACAUAUUAAGAAAAUUAGAUUAAAAAUUAUUAGUGAAAGAAGCAACUUUCAAAUUUUUUCAAAAGUCAUUUACAAUUUUAAAAUGAGCUUAAGAGUGAAAGCAAGAAAAUGAUGGAUUCUUGAAAAAUAAAUAAUCGUGUGGUGGGGAUGAAAACAACGCAUUUUGUGCACUACGGGCGAUAUUCUUUGAACCACGUCUAGGACGGCUACAAGCAUGAAACGCUGCGUUUUAUGGAAGCUAGGAUGAGAAACGAUGGAUUAAACGACGCCGUUUUCAGAUCCUAUAAAAAAGUCUCAGCUUUAUCCCACUGAACUGCAAAUCCACCACCACUCCUGCCGUCUCCGUCGCAACGCCACCGCCACAUGUCCGCACACGACCAAGCAGCGGCGGCGAUCCUCGCUCAAGUAGCCCUAGCCGCCGACGGAGCCAUCCUCGGCUUAGCCCUAGCCUACGUCGCCGUUCGCAGUUUUAUCAGGCUCUCAUCCACCUCCUCCGCCCUCCGCCAAAUUGAUCAGUCUCCGUCUUUCCGCGUCUCCGAUCUCCGAUCCCUCCUCUCUCCCUCCAGCGACGAUGAAUCCGACCAGUCUACGUCGUCCGAUGGCCUGCUCGUCGUCGUCCGCGGCACCGUCGAGGCGAAAUCGGCCAUUGACGGCAACUGGAAGAGCUUGCGUCCCAAUGUUCUCGUCUCUCACGAAUCAGGCGAGAAAGGUGUCAUCUUGCAGCGAACGCAAACGGUAUGUUUGAAAUUUAGCUACCUUUAUUUCCGUUUGGUUGGCAAGAGAAAGGAGCAAAAGAAAAUGGGAAUUUGAAUUUCUGCGGGGAAAUAUUUGUAAAUUCACCUCCCCUAAGCGGAAAUUGAGCUUGUUUAAAUGAGAUCGUAGUGGUAGUCUUAUAUAAGCGUUAUUUUGUAGCGAAGGUCAACAUUAUGUUUGGAACAAGGAGCUACUUUAGUGCCCAUUUGGUUGUCGAGAAAACUGAGGGAAAGUUGAACGAGAAUUUGACUUCUUUCGAUGAAAUCUAGUGAUAGCACUGUAUGAACUUUUGGUCUUCUUGACAACUAAGAGAGCUGAUGAUUUACUAUCGGUAGCAUGAAAUUAGGGCAUCGGGAUUGAGGGCCUCAAAUUCCAAGAACUUGAUUCAACACUUCAUCCUAGAAGAUCUUUUUAUUCCUAAGGUUUCAAAUAUGGAUUUUUUUCUUUCCUCCCCCCCCCCCCCCCCCCUUUUUAAAAAUUAAAAAUAUAAUUUUUUUUUCUUUUCCCCAAAAAAAAAAAAAAAAAAGGGAUUUUGGUUUUAAAAUUUUUUAAAUGGGGGGGAAAAUCUUUUACUUGUGUUUUUUUAAACUCUUUUAUUUUGGGAACACCAAAUUAACUUUUGUUUUUUUCCCCCCAAAAUUGGGUUUUUACAUGGGGUUUUAUAUUUGUCAAAAAAUAAUUUAAAAAAUCCCCCCCUUUGUUGUCUUUGUUCAGCAUUUGCAAUUUUAAAUUUUUUUAUGUGGCCAAAAGUUUCAUUUAAUUUUGGCUUCCUUUUUAAAAAACCCCCCUUUUUUUUUUUGGGUUGUGUUUUUGGGGGGUGUAUAAAAAGGGUGGGGGGGGUUUUUUUGGAGGNNNNNNNNNNNNNNNNNNNNNNNNNNNNNNNNNNNNNNNNNNNNNNNNNNNNNNNNNNNNNNNNNNNNNNNNNNNNNNNNNNNNNNNNNNNNNNNNNNNNCGGACCACGUCGAGGGGUGGUUCCGCUCGCCGAUGUACUCUUCAUCAGGCGAGUGGGUGGAAAGAGUGUCGACCACCGCCAUGAAGCUGGUGGAUUGGAGGACGCCGGGCAGCGCGGAGAGGUAGUAGCGUUGUGGGUCGUUGAGGAAGUUGGUGUAUUCGGGGUCCGUUGGUUCCGGGAUGAGGCGGCGCAUGAGCGGAGGGCGGUUGGGGACGUAGCCGCCGUAGGGAUAUUGGCCGAAGUUUAGGGCAGCGUGUUGGGCGGAGGCGAGCCAGAUGAGGGUGGUAAGGAUUGAAGCGAGGUCGUCUGGGGUGGAGAGGGAGGGCCACCAGGCGGCGUGGCGGAGAUCAGCAUGGCCAACGUUGACGGCCUCGGAGUACCAGGCUUGAAGCUCCCCCCCCCCCCCUUUUUAAAGAUUCAGAACUAUAAUUUCUUUUCCUUUCCUCAACAAAGAAACAGAGCAAUGUAAUUUGCAUUCUACAAUUCUAUAACUGUGAGGAAAACUCAUUAGCUUGUCUAUUUUAGAGCUCUUUAAUUGUGGAAUCACUAAUUAAGCUUAUGUUUUUAUCCCCCAAAAUUUGGUUAUCUACAUGGGUUAUCAUAUUGAUCAAAGAUUAGUUAAUAACAUCACUCACUUGAUUGUCUAUGUACAGCAUUGCAAUUUUGAACUUUAUCUAUGUGCCUAAAUGUUACAUUAAUUUGUGCUUCACUUUUGAAGAACUCCCCUUUUGAUUUUGUGGUUUGUAUUUUGGCA
Molecule: long non-coding RNA, 20337 nt
Filed under: Vitis vinifera (wine grape)
Lineage: Eukaryota; Viridiplantae; Streptophyta; Magnoliopsida; Vitales; Vitaceae
Description: long non-coding RNA (VVIN_LNC002716)
Source: RNAcentral